RNAcentral lists this unclassified non-coding RNA (234 nucleotides) under Hevea brasiliensis (rubber tree). Lineage: Eukaryota; Viridiplantae; Streptophyta; Magnoliopsida; Malpighiales; Euphorbiaceae. The record is from RNAcentral.
AGGCCAAACGAGAUUAUGGUUAGCAAACCAGUCAUAAAGAACGGGAACAAGAGACUUCCACUGAGUAUAACGCUCGUCGACGGAGGGUUGUUGUUGAGCCUUCAUCUUCUUGGUUUGCUGUUCGUCUUUUUUCUCGUCCUUAGGCUUGGGUUUUCGGCCUCUGGUCUCCUUCUUCUUCACCACAGGUUGCUGCGGCGGCGGCGUCUGCUGCUGUUGAGGCUGUUGUUGUUGUUG